RNAcentral lists this ribosomal RNA (800 nucleotides) under uncultured bacterium. RNAcentral describes it as "bacterial SSU rRNA". It matches the Rfam family "Bacterial small subunit ribosomal RNA", at positions 8 to 795 of the family's 1533-position model. The record is from RNAcentral.
AGAGUUUGAUCCUGGCUCAGAGUGAACGCUGGCGGCAGGCCUAAUACAUGCAAGUCGAACGGCAGCACAGCAGAGCUUGCUCUGUGGGUGGCGAGUGGCGGACGGGUGAGGAAUACAUGGGAAUCUGCCCAGUCGUGGGGGAUAACGUAGGGAAACUUACGCUAAUACCGCAUGCGCCCUUCGGGGGAAAGCCGGGGACCUUCGGGCCUGGCGCGAUUGGAUGAGCCCAUGUCGGAUUAGCUAGUUGGCGGGGUAACGGCCCACCAAGGCGACGAUCCGUAGCUGGUCUGAGAGGAUGAUCAGCCACACUGGAACUGAGACACGGUCCAGACUCCUACGGGAGGCAGCAGUAGGGAAUAUUGGACAAUGGGCGCAAGCCUGAUCCAGCCAUGCCGCGUGAGUGAAGAAGGCCUUCGGGUUGUAAAGCUCUUUUGUCCGGAAAGAAAAGCUUCGGGUUAAUACCCUGGAGUCCUGACGGUACCGGAAGAAUAAGCACCGGCUAACUUCGUGCCAGCAGCCGCGGUAAUACGAAGGGUGCAAGCGUUACUCGGAAUUACUGGGCGUAAAGCGUGCGUAGGUGGUUUGUUAAGUCUGAUGUGAAAGCCCUGGGCUCAACCUGGGAAUGGCAUUGGAUACUGGCAGGCUAGAGUGCGGUAGAGGGUAGUGGAAUUCCCGGUGUAGCAGUGAAAUGCGUAGAGAUCGGGAGGAACAUCUGUGGGCGAAGGCGACUACCUGGACCAGCACUGACACUGAGGCACGAAAGCGUGGGGGAGCAAACAGGAUUAGAUACCCUGGUAGUC